This 301-nucleotide ribosomal RNA is filed under the name uncultured bacterium. RNAcentral's name for it is "partial 16S ribosomal RNA". It matches the Rfam family "Bacterial small subunit ribosomal RNA", at positions 509 to 808 of the family's 1533-position model. The record is from RNAcentral.
CAGCAGCCGCGGGAAUACGUAGGGUGCAAGCGUUAAUCGGAAUUACUGGGCGUAAAGCGUGCGCAGGCGGUUAUAUAAGACAGAUGUGAAAUCCCCGGGCUCAACCUGGGAACUGCAUUUGUGACUGUAUAGCUAGAGUACGGCAGAGGGGGAUGGAAUUCCGCGUGUAGCAGUGAAAUGCGUAGAUAUGCGGAGGAACACCGAUGGCGAAGGCAAUCCCCUGGGCCUGUACUGACGCUCAUGCACGAAAGCGUGGGGAGCAAACAGGAUUAGAGCCCCCGUAGUCCCUGUCUCUUAUACA